GAUGAACGCUGGCGGCGUGCCUAAUACAUGCAAGUCGAGCGAACAGAUGAGGAGCUUGCUCCUCUGACGUUAGCGGCGGACGGGUGAGUAACACGUGGAUAACCUACCUAUAAGACUGGGAUAACUUCGGGAAACCGGAGCUAAUACCGGAUAAUAUAUUGAACCGCAUGGUUCAAUAGUGAAAGACGGUUUUGCUGUCACUUAUAGAUGGAUCCGCGCCGCAUUAGCUAGUUGGUAAGGUAACGGCUAACCAAGGCAACGAUGCGUAGCCGACCUGAGAGGGUGAUCGGCCACACUGGAACGGAGACACGGUCCAGACUCCGACGGGAGGCAGCAGUAGGGAAUCUUCCGCAAUGGGCGAAAGCCUGACGGAGCAACGCCGCGUGAGUGAAGAAGGUCUUCGGAUCGUAAAACUCUGUUAUUAGGGAAGAACAAAUGUGUAAGUAACUAUGCACGUCUUGACGGUACCUAAUCAGAAAGCCACGGCUAACUACGUG
RNAcentral lists this ribosomal RNA (497 nucleotides) under uncultured bacterium. RNAcentral describes it as "partial 16S ribosomal RNA". It matches the Rfam family "Bacterial small subunit ribosomal RNA", at positions 28 to 507 of the family's 1533-position model. The record is from RNAcentral.